AUUGAACGCUGGCGGCAUGCUUUACACAUGCAAGUCGGACGGCAGCACAGAGAAGCUUGCUUCUUGGGUGGCGAGUGGCGAACGGGUGAGUAAUAUAUCGGAACGUACCGAGUAAUGGGGGAUAACUAAUCGAAAGAUUAGCUAAUACCGCAUAUUCUCUGAGGAGGAAAGCAGGGGACCUUCGGGCCUUGCGUUAUUCGAGCGGCCGAUAUCUGAUUAGCUAGUUGGUGGGGUAAAGGCCUACCAAGGCGACGAUCAGUAGCGGGUCUGAGAGGAUGAUCCGCCACACUGGGACUGAGACACGGCCCAGACUCCUACGGGAGGCAGCAGUGGGGAAUUUUGGACAAUGGGCGCAAGCCUGAUCCAGCCAUGCCGCGUGUCUGAAGAAGGCCUUCGGGUUGUAAAGGACUUUUGUCAGGGAAGAAAAGGCUGUUGCUAAUAUCAAUAGCUGAUGACGGUACCUUAAGAAUAAGCACCGGCUAACUACGUG
Molecule: ribosomal RNA, 490 nt
Filed under: uncultured bacterium
Lineage: Bacteria
Description: partial 16S ribosomal RNA
Rfam family: Bacterial small subunit ribosomal RNA
Source: RNAcentral